This is a non-coding RNA of Oryzias latipes (Japanese medaka), 1374 nucleotides long. NCBI's taxonomy places the organism in Eukaryota, Metazoa, Chordata, Actinopteri, Beloniformes, Adrianichthyidae. The record is from RefSeq and is a predicted model, not a curated record.
CCCAGAUGGUGGAAAACAAGAGAAGAUCUGAGAAAGUUUGAGUUUUCCUUGAGAAAGUGAAACAUUAGGGGUGCAAAGCAUCGCAGGAAACAUUCUUUUAGUUCAAAGUUUUGUGGGAAUUCAUUUUCCGACAGGAACUCCUGACUUUAUCUGCCGUUUGCCUGAGGGACUGGGAUCUUGUGAUGAGGUGAGCGUGGGGCUGUCGGCUUCAAAUCCGACCUUUCACUUCAGUGUCUCUGCUGUUGUGGGCAAUCAGGCUUUUGGUGCCUGUCCACAUGCUCAGUGUUGAUGGAGGGAUUGUAUUUUUAGACUAUGGACACCUCUGACCCUUUUAACCUUUGGCCUAGAGCUCCACUGUGGCAUCAGGCCCGAUAAUGGAGCACCAGCCUAUCAGAAGAGAUCCAAUGUCUAUAUUCAGCCGCGGUUGUCCACGCACACUCAGGAUUCUGUCUGGCAGUGAGGCUGUGGUGACCUCUGAUGUAUUAUUUUGUUCUCAUCUCCGCUGAUGGUCGGUUCCCUCCUAAAGGGUCACAGGAUCUCCAGAGGCGGCCCCGGCUCCUGUUGGGUGAAGGUGGGGUGCACCCUGGAAAGGUCUUUUAUUUAUUAUCACCACAUAACUUUCACCCUCUGACUGCAGCUCAGAUGAUGUUCAGAAUCUGAAAGUUUGUUUUUUCACAAUAUAAAGUCCAUCAGUUAGGGGUCAGCAUGUUCUGCAAAGCUGUAAUUAUGGGAGUUUCUAUUUUGGCAAAGGACAGAAAGGCGAGUGCAGCCGGACGUCCGAGGAGCACCACAGCAUCCCGGUGGGCCGCGGCCCCACAGCAGCAUCCCGGUUGUGAUCAGGAGCAGACUGUGAGCUUUCUCUGAGCAUAAGCUGAAAACAUGCAGAGUCAGCGGGGAGGUGAAGGACAGAACCAGGGAAGACGGCACGGAUCCCGGCUGGGGGUGACGCCAACGUCCUCCUGGAAGGAGAGCCUCCUGAUGACGGCAGACGGUGGACGGCGCUGGGCAGUUCUGUGACGUCUGCGUUUGUUUGGGUUACAGAGAUGUGCGAUGAUCCCAGUCUGCCACUGGGAAGCUCUUAAAUAAUGUAUUUAGCGGUUAUAGUUUCAGUGUCAAAGGAACCCUCAUUAGAAAUUGAUCAUGUGAUGUAAGAGUUUUAAAUUGGUUUCCUAAGAAUAAAAAUUUUUUAAAAACUUAAAGAAUUUAUAGUUAUUAGCCUUAUGUUUUAUUUCUUUUUUUACAAUUUGCUCUAAUAAGUCUAUUAUUGACAUUUAUUUCUUUCAUAGUGUGUUUUUUAACAGAUAUAUCUGCAUUGUAUGAUGAAAAAAUCAUAAAUAAAUAAACUAAUAAACCUGACACUUUACAAAAAUCACA